Molecule: small nuclear RNA, 192 nt
Organism: Sorex araneus (European shrew)
Lineage: Eukaryota; Metazoa; Chordata; Mammalia; Eulipotyphla; Soricidae
Gene: U2
Rfam family: U2 spliceosomal RNA
About the family: U2 is a small nuclear RNA (snRNA) component of the spliceosome (involved in pre-mRNA splicing). Complementary binding between U2 snRNA (in an area lying towards the 5' end but 3' to hairpin I) and the branchpoint sequence (BPS) of the intron results the bulging out of an unpaired adenosine, on the BPS, which initiates a nucleophilic attack at the intronic 5' splice site, thus starting the first of two transesterification reactions that mediate splicing.
Source: Ensembl
AUCAUUUCUCAGCCUUUGGGCUAAGAUCAAGUGUAGUAUUUGCUCUUAACAGUUUCAUAUCUGAUAGUCCUCUACCUAUGAAUGAUAUAUUAAAUGGAUUUUGGAGCUAGGAGUUAGAAUAAGACCUUGCUCUGUCCAUUCCACACAAUAUCGGCCUGGUAUUGCAGUAUCUUCAGGAAUGGUGCACUCAUC